CCUACGGGUGGCAGCAGUGAGGAAUAUUGGUCAAUGGACGAGAGUCUGAACCAGCCAAGUAGCGUGAAGGAUGACUGCCCUAUGGGUUGUAAACUUCUUUUAUAUGGGAAUAAAAUGUUCCACGUGUGGGAUUUUGUAUGUACCAUAUGAAUAAGGAUCGGCUAACCCAGUGCCAGCAGCCGCGGUAAUACGGAGGAUCCGAGCGUUAUCCGGAUUUAUUGGGUUUAAAGGGAGCGUAGGUGGAUUGUUAAGUCAGUUGUGAAAGUUUGCGGCUCAACCGUAAAAUUGCAGUUGAAACUGGCAGUCUUGAGUACAGUAGAGGUGGGCGGAAUUCGUGGUGUAGCGGUGAAAUGCUUAGAUAUCACGAAGAACUCCGAUUGCGAAGGCAGUUCACUGGACUGCAACUGACACUGAGGCUCGAAAGUGUGGGUAUCAAACAGGAUUAGAUACCCUUGUAGUC
Molecule: ribosomal RNA, 460 nt
Filed under: uncultured bacterium
Lineage: Bacteria
Description: partial 16S ribosomal RNA
Rfam family: Bacterial small subunit ribosomal RNA
Source: RNAcentral